CUGUAGCUGUGUUUUGGCUGCUGGCAUAAGGUGAGCCGUCGGUUGUUUUUCACGUUUCGGAGCUGCUUCAUAAGUGAUGACGAGUGGGGCUGGCUAUGUGUGGGGUCAAUAGAACACAAUGGUUUUCCUCCUGGCCUGCGUAAAAGAAAAAAGCCCUAGACCGACGAGCGGUAAAAGUAAAAGGCGACGCGGCUUCCUCCUCCCCUCGCUCUCUUCUCGCCUCCUCCUCUCCGCCCUCUCGCUCGCCGCCGCCGCCGCCAUGGCCUCCCCUGCCGCUCAUCUCCACCUCCUCCAGCGAGCCCAAUCGCUCCCACUCCAUCCCCUCAACCCAUGGAUUUCGGGGCAUCCCCUCUCGGCCACCACCUCUCCUCCUCUCUUUGUUUCCCCCAGGUUCCUGAUCUGGAGCGGGAGAGACAGAUACGGCAAAAAGCGCUGGUGCCGGCGUGGGAUGAUAGAGGCCACCACCUCUCCUCACCUCCUCCCAUGUUCCGGUGGCGGCACCGGGGAAGAAAGGAGCAGCAGCCAUAGCAGGCGCGUUGCUGACGAACGCGAUCUGCAGCAGCCGCAGCAGGAGGCGGUGUUGAUGAAGCGGCGGUCUGUGCCGUCGCCGCCGCUGUCGUCCUCUGGCAGAAGGUCAAGCCAACAUGAAUCAACAACGCCAUGGCGAGAAACGACCAUGGGUCCUGGAGCCGAGACCUUCGCAAUAAGCAUCGCACGGACCUAGAGAGUUUAGCGUUGACAUCACGGACAUUGAGAACACUUUGCAUUACCCUCAAAAAAGAGAACACUUUGCAUUAUUUCUGUUAGCCAUUGGACAGAGUAUAAGAAGCAGAUGUUCCCGUGUUCUGAAAGAAGUUUUUGGUUUUGCUCCUUGGUGCUACCUGUUUGCUUCUCUUGGUAGCUGAGGGCCCACAUGAGAAGGUAUCAUCAUCUUUCUGUUUUAGUACAUUUAUGUAUUUCAAAUUAGACGAACUGAGUGGCGGUAUAGUGAAUUGAACUGCAAGUAUGCAAAUUAAUAGAGCACUACUUUCACAAUCUCUGGAUAUGCAUGUGUUGCUUUUGAAUGGUGAAAUCACUGAAAUGUAUUAUCUAUUUAUUGUGAAUGAGAAGGGUUAAGGUUUAUACCCUGCACUUUUUAAAAUUAAGGUAGCUAGAUGUUAGACUCGAACCUACGUGAGUGGGAGCAUUCGUCUACCCUGCUUGUGGUGCGUGAGCUCUUGCAGCAGGAUAAACCAUUAUAUUUCGUCUUCAAUGUAGCAUAUGCAGGAACUGCUUUGGUAUACCAGGUUUGUAUUAUCGUGCAACUAAGUAUUUAUCAUUGCAGUUAAGUUCUCUGCACGUCAUUUAUUUUUGCAGGCUCUGGCUUGCACACCUUUGUUGUAUUUAGGGCCUCAUAUUGCCCUUUUCACAAUGAAAGCGGUUCAGUGUGGCCGGGUUGAUUUAAAGAGUGCUCCUUAUGACACUAUUCUUUAAAAAGUAGGCCUUCAUGGUUGGGGAAAGACUGUCCGGAGUUUGGAUCUCCACUGUAUCAGGAAACAAUCCCAUUUAGCAAAAUACUCCAUGAAGUUCAUCUUCAAGUUGUUCCUUGGGGCAUUGGGACCGCACUUGGAGAGCUUCCUCCAUAUUUUACUUCUAGAGCAGGUUAUGUUUAUAAUGCUUUGCUCUUGCCAACUCGAACAUAAUGUACCUUUGUAACCAUCUCAUGCUAUACCUCAUUAUUCUUUAAGUUUUUAUUCCAGGGCUUCGUUGUGAAUCGCUUAAAUUAUGUAUAAAUGCUUCACUGCGCCCAAAUUUACAUGAACACAUCAGAUGUGUAAUUGAGUGUCAGAAAGAAGUGCAUAGUCCUAUUAGCAAGAAGCUUCUUGAUUGAUUACAAAUUAAUCAAACAUCCAUCUAUAGCACACUUUGAUCAGUGAUGACCGUUGGAUUUUUAUUUGAUUGCUUCUUAUUUGUGUGCCAUCUUCCAGUAUAGCCUUCAAUGAGAUAUAUAGUUAUCCUGUGUGCAGGGCAGAGUAUACAUAAAGUUUAGUUUUAUGCUUCUUAUUCGUUUACUCAUCUUUGCAUUGUAACCUGAGCUCAUCUCUUAAUUCGUGGGAGAUCAGGGCAGACAUGUCUUCAUGGUGCUUGCGGAGGGGCAGGGCCCCUGAGGAAAAGUGGUGGUUGGGGAGGAGGACGCCCUUGUCCUUGGUGUCCGGGCCGCCAUGGCUGACGCCGGAGCCGUUGGUUGGCCUUGAGGUCAUCCGUCGUUGGCGUCCUCAUCAUCCAUCCAACCACCAGGGAGGAGAUCCCUGAGGCAUUUGAUUCUUGUGGGAUCCCCACACAUCUUGCAAGAUCAACAAGUGGCUGGGCCUCUACAUUAUUCAGAAAAGCUAUUUUUAUCUUUCAUUUAUUUUUCUAAUUUAUGUGCCCGUGUAUUCGCCUCCGUUCCGCUCUUGUUGAAGUUCCAACGAAUUUCUGUGCUACCUAAGAGGUACUAAUGCUCAUAUAUUACAAUUUGGUAGCCACAACCUUCAGUCACGGGAUCUUGAGAAAAGCAGUUUAGGCAUUUUGUUUGUGUCAACUAUACAGAAUCCCUGCGGUUCGAUUUUUGGUUUGUAGGCAACCAACACAAUAUGCAGGCAAACAGAGAUGAGGUUUUGCUGUAGUAGGCAAAUAUUCAUUGUCCAUUUUAUGUGUUUGUAGGCAACUGAAGUACUCAACCUGUAUAUAUCCGUUAAUUCGUGUAUAAGCCAAUCUUUUUUGGCAUAUCCAUUGCAUGAUCUACCUAUGUAUGUUUGUAAUUUUGCCUUACUAAGCUGCUAUGCGUAUACUCAGUUUGUCUUUACUAAGCUGCUAUACAUACACUCAAUCUUGUGCUGAUUCCAGCUUUGAGCUUGCAACUGAACCUUAAGACUACUAAUUACUUUUGUGGAUGGUUAAACCUGAAAUCUGAAACAAAAUUUGGUAGCAGUCUUGCCCCCCUCAGCAAAAAAAUAUGCAUUGAGGUCAGCUAUCUUUAAUGUCCCUUUUUUCGUUUCAGUGAUGCAUGACCAUAGCGUGACAUGAAGUUCUAUCUUUGAUCCUUGCCAUUCUACUGCUUUGUUGAACCAUCUCAAGGCUGGUGGAUGAUAUAUUCUCUGCCAUGAAUGGAUGUUUUUGGCGUUGUGAGAUGGCGUAGGUCACUGAUGAGGCAAGUGACCGAGGUGAGCUCAUGAAGACAAAGCGGCACAAAUAAACUUCUGACAAACUCAUUGGAAUGGGAGCCUCCCCAAAACUUAGCCGUGAUCCGCCACAACCGCCAACGGCGAGGCCAGAGGUGACCGUAUCCGGCACAGGUUGCCAUGGCACGGACGGCGACGACGACAGGAGGGGCACGCACAUCCAUGGGACGGGACGCCGCCAUAGAGAUGGAGCUCCUUCUCCACAUCACGCAGAGGCCCCAUGGAGCCCCCCUCCUUCUCCGGUGACUCUUCUCAGGCCCGACCCCCUACCUCUUCCCCCUCCCUCUCCUGUACUUUGAGCUAUACCAGCUCUGUUUCAGAUUCUGAAGGCCUCUGUACCAUACUUUUAGCUUCAUUUGCAAUCACAUACAAUUUUCUUGUUUUGUCUUCUGAUUCACUUCUCUCGACAUUUGUUUGUGUGCCACUUAUUAUGGCCAGCUUGGCCAUUUCCUCUGGAAGGAGUCACUCAACUCAAAAAGAACAAAGAACAAAUAAUAAAGACUAUUUUAUUUUUCUUGCAAUAAUUCAGGUUGAUUGUUCCGACCAUUCAGGUUGCAGGAUUUGAGGUGUGGUCGUUGAGGUGGGGCAGCAAAGAUAAUUAGCAGUCUGUAUGCUAAUGAGGAGAACGUCCCUCUAUUAAUUUUGGGUGUUGGGUUCUGUUUAGUGAAAUUUUGAAAAUAGUUGGCCUGGUAAAACACCACUGUUUCCCCUGUGGGUCAAUAGGGACUUGACAAACAAAAGAUGCAUCACUCUCCAUUUAGUGGCCUAAAAAUACUGGCAUGUUUGGAUGAAAUUUUCAUCUAUAUGUAUAAGCCGUGGGCUAUUCCAAGAAGAGGGUGACUAUGCAUCAGUUGUACAAUCAUGUGGCCAUCUGCUGCUUUUUUGAAUCGUAUAAAAUCUAGAGCUACCUUACAAAACUGUUCUGUUUACUAUGGAGUAAAAUCUAGAGCUAGCUUAUAAUACUGCUUGAAAAUAGCUUUGGCUCUUCACACCUGGGAGUAAUAUGACAGUUUGCAUUCCUAUUUUUGUUUUCUCUGUAUAUAUAUACAGUUUUCAUAUUCUAUUUGUUUGCUCCUGAAGCUUAUGUUUUCCUUUUUCAGAAUUGAGUGUGUAUGAACAAAGCAAUAGAGGUUGUGUCAAUUCCUAGAGCCUAAUAUGUUCUUUUGUCUCCUGGUGAUUAGUUCGAAUGGCCGUGUGAGGUAAUAGAGCUUUCUAUCGUUGCUUCCUCAUCCUUCUCCGCCUUCCAUUCUCACAUUUGUUAAUGAAAAAAUAACCCUGCAUUCUCACUUUGUUAAUGAAAAAAAAUAAAGGGAUUACAAGCACUGCUCUGUGCAAGAAAUGGGUGUAUGUGUUCUAAUUUAGUUGCUUGGCCUGCCAGCCUAUCUUUCCUGGAUGCUUACUUUCUUACAUGUUGCACGUCAUGUUACAGUUUCGCCGGCCUGUCUCGGCUCAUGUUAGGCACCAUGUCACCGUGUCUAACUAUUUAUGCACAACAUGGUGACAUGGUGUCUAUAGCCUGUUGGGGCGCCUGCGGGUAUUCUCACUGACCACCUCUGCUUGUUUUGGCUCCUUCUAAUUGAUGUGUUACUUUGUCUAUUUUCAUGUACCCAGAUCCCUGACAAAAUCCAUGUAUUUAACCGUGGCAUGUUUGGCAGCUGCAGCCGCGUGGCAAUUAAUUAAUUCUCAUUCAACGUAAUUUACUUCUCCCCCUUUAUGUAUCAUGGAUGGAUAUACAUGGUGGUUGGCUGUUAUUAUCGAAGCAAGAGUUACUGAUGAUGACUACAUUUGAGCUGGUUUGCCGCUUACAAAUCGAUAUCAGUGGUCCAUGUCACAAUAAACAAGUGAUUUGUACUUAAACAUGACAUGGGGAACCUUGGAUACACCAUUCAGGACAGGGAUAUACUCGAUCUGAGAGAACAUGGGCUUCUUACCUCCAUCUUUUGUACCCAGUUUACUAGAUAUUAGAAAACAAUGGGUAUUUAAAAAAAAUUGUUACAGAAGUGCCUUGAAUACAUUCAGCAUAAAUGGGUUGACCAGGACAUAUAUGAAUCGGAUUUGUUAUUAACUAUACUUGGAAAACGAUGAUGUGAUGAAGAUAUGUCUGCAGAUGAAUAUGACGGUUAUAGAUUUCAGUUGUGCUCUUAAGCAUAAUUCUGCAUCUACAACUAUCGUCCCUCUUGGAAGUGUUCAGAGGUCCUUGGCAAUAGAAGAGAAAUCUUUAGAUUGGAUGAUGUAUUUGAGUUGUUAAAUAAUGCUCAUGCCAAUUAGGUAAGUUUAGAAUAUAUUUUUGUUUAUCUAUAAUUUGAGCUUCAUUCAAUGAGCAAAGUUUGAUAAUUUUUAUC
This is a long non-coding RNA of Triticum dicoccoides, 5542 nucleotides long. RefSeq lists it as uncharacterized. Lineage: Eukaryota; Viridiplantae; Streptophyta; Magnoliopsida; Poales; Poaceae. The transcript has 7 exons. The record is from RefSeq and is a predicted model, not a curated record.